AUGGCCACCUCUACCACCACCACCACCGCUCUCCACCCCCAGUUCCGGCCGCCGUCGCACCCACGCGCACCCCGUCAGCUCCGCCCCUUCCUCUCCUCCUCCUCCUCCUCCUCCAGUGUACGCCCCCGCUUCUCCGUCCGCGCUGCAGCGGCGUCGGCGUCCGCUCCGGCGCAGCGCGAGGCCGUCGCGGGUGUCCCAUGGGGCUGCGAGAUCGAGUCCCUGGAGAGCGCGGCGUCGCUGGAGCGGUGGCUCACCGCGUCGGGUCUCCCCGAGCAGCGGCUGGCCCUAGAGAAGGUGGACAUCGGCGAGCGCGGCCUCGUCGCGCUCAAGAACGUCCGGAAUGGAGAGAAGCUGCUCUUCGUGCCCCCGACCCUCGUCAUCACCGCCGAUUCGGAAUGGAGCAACCGCGAGGUUGGGGAUGUGAUGAAGAGGUACUCUGUGCCGGACUGGCCGCUUCUCGCCACCUACCUCAUAAGCGAAGCCAGCUUGGAGGGUUCGUCGAGGUGGAGCAGCUACAUCGACGCAUUGCCUAGGCAGCCUUACUCGCUUUUGUACUGGACUCGCACCGAGAUAGAUGCAUACUUGGCGGCUUCCCCAAUCAGGGAACGGGCAAUUUCAAGGAUCAGUGAUGUGAUUGGGACAUACAACGACCUUCGAGAUCGAAUAUUUUCUAAAUAUCCAGAUUUGUUCCCCGAGAAGGUAUACACCAUGGAGAACUUUAGAUGGUCCUUCGGCAUUCUCUUCUCACGUCUGGUUCGUUUAGAAUCAAUGGACGGAAAGGUUGCACUAGUUCCUUGGGCAGAUAUGCUUAACCACAGCCCUGAGGUAGAUGCAUUCCUGGAUUAUGACAAGUCAUCGCAAGGAAUAGUCUUCACCACUGAUCGUUCGUAUCAACCAGGUGAGCAGGUGUUCAUAUCCUAUGGGAAGAAAUCCAGUGGUGAGCUAUUGCUUUCCUAUGGUUUUGUACCAAAAGAGGGAACAAAUCCAAAUGAUUCAGUUGAAUUCUUGGUGUCUCUUAACAAGUCUGAUGAGUGCUACAAAGAGAAAUUACAAGCACUAAAGAAACACGGUUUGUCAGAGUCUGAAAGUUUCCCCUUGAGGGUCACAGGGUGGCCAGUUGAGCUGAUGGCUUAUGCCUUCCUCGUAGUCAGUCCUCCUGAGAUGAUUCAAUGCUUUGAGGAGAUGGCUGUUGCUGCAUCCAAUAAAGGUUCAUCCAAGCCUGCACUUAAUUAUCCCGAGCUGGACGAGGAGGCUCUUCAGUUUAUCUUGGACUGCUGUGAAUCUAGUAUAAAAAAAUAUACCAAGUACCUAGAGGGCGCCAAGGGUUCUGCGGAAGUCUCCAUCAAUACAAAGCAGGCCAACAGGACCUUGCUACUAAAACAGCUAGCAAGAGAUCUGUGCAUCAGCGAACGGAGAAUCCUGUAUCGUUCACAAUACAUAUUGCGUAGGAGAUUGAGGGACAUGAGGGCCGGCGGUGAGCUUAAAGCUCUGUCACUAUUCACUGGUCUCAGAAAUCUCUUCAAAUAA
RNAcentral lists this ribosomal RNA (1527 nucleotides) under Triticum aestivum (bread wheat). RNAcentral's name for it is "partial small subunit ribosomal RNA". The record is from RNAcentral. Lineage: Eukaryota; Viridiplantae; Streptophyta; Magnoliopsida; Poales; Poaceae.